CAAAAACAUGUCUUUUUGUUAUUUAUUUAAAGUCUAAUCUGCCCACUGAAGAAUUUUAAAUGGCCGCAGUAUUUUAACUGUGCAAAGGUAGCAUAAUCAUUAGUCUUUUAAUUGAAGGCUUGUAUGAAUGGUUGGACGAGACAUAAGCUGUUUCAUAAAAAUUGUAGUUGAAUUUUAUUUUUUAGUUAAAAAGCUAAAAUAUUAUUAAAAGACGAGAAGACCCUAUAGAUCUUUACAGUUAUUAAAUUUAGAGAUAUGAAGAUUUAUUUAUUUUAAGUUUAUAGACUGUUUUGUUGGGGUGACAGUAAAAUUUAUAUAACUUUUAUAAUAAUAUUAAUUUACAUUUAUUUAUGAUUAUUUUUGAUCCAUUAAUAGUGAUUAUUAAAUUAAGUUACCUUAGGGAUAACAGCGUAAUUUUCUUAGAGAGUUCUUAUCGAAAAGAGAGAUUGCGACCUCGAUGUUGGAUUAAGAUAGAACUUAGGUGCAGCAGUUUAAGUUUUCAAGUCUGUUCGACUUUUAAUAUCUUACAUGAUCU
This 535-nucleotide ribosomal RNA is filed under the name Acaenotus canus. RNAcentral's name for it is "partial 16S ribosomal RNA". It matches the Rfam family "Bacterial large subunit ribosomal RNA", at positions 1808 to 2606 of the family's 2925-position model. The record is from RNAcentral. Lineage: Eukaryota; Metazoa; Arthropoda; Insecta; Diptera; Scenopinidae.